UACACACCGCCCGUCACAUCACGUAAGCCCGUUGUACUAGAAGCCGGUAAUUCAACCCGCAAGGGAGAUAGCCGUCCAAGGUAUGACUGGUGAUUGGGGUG
RNAcentral lists this ribosomal RNA (101 nucleotides) under uncultured bacterium. RNAcentral's name for it is "partial 16S ribosomal RNA". It matches the Rfam family "Bacterial small subunit ribosomal RNA", at positions 1384 to 1482 of the family's 1533-position model. The record is from RNAcentral.